UGGGGAAUAUUGGACAAUGGGGGCAACCCUGAUCCAGCAAUGCCGCGUGUGUGAAGAAGGUCUUCGGAUUGUAAAGCACUUUCGACGGGGACGAUGAUGACGGUACCCGUAGAAGAAGCCCCGGCUAACUUCGUGCCAGCAGCCGCGGUAAUACGAAGGGGGCUAGCGUUGCUCGGAAUGACUGGGCGUAAAGGGCGUGUAGGCGGUUUACACAGUCAGAUGUGAAAUCCCCGGGCUUAACCUGGGAGCUGCAUUUGAUACGUGUAGACUAGAGUGUGAGAGAGGGUUGUGGAAUUCCCAGUGUAGAGGUGAAAUUCGU
This 319-nucleotide ribosomal RNA is filed under the name uncultured bacterium. Its description in RNAcentral is "partial 16S ribosomal RNA". It matches the Rfam family "Bacterial small subunit ribosomal RNA", at positions 355 to 691 of the family's 1533-position model. The record is from RNAcentral.